Penicillium roqueforti FM164 is the source of this 133-nucleotide non-coding RNA. The record is from Rfam. Lineage: Eukaryota; Fungi; Ascomycota; Eurotiomycetes; Eurotiales; Aspergillaceae.
AUCCUAGUGCAAGGGCUUUACACGUAUCAGUGAGGAGACAUCCGAGAUCGUGUUUUUGCUGGUUGAAAACUACCACCUUGACUGCUUCAAGUGAGCCUUACGGCUUGCUUGGGAAUUUUUGAAACAUGCUUAC